This 425-nucleotide ribosomal RNA is filed under the name uncultured bacterium. RNAcentral's name for it is "partial 16S ribosomal RNA". It matches the Rfam family "Bacterial small subunit ribosomal RNA", at positions 354 to 796 of the family's 1533-position model. The record is from RNAcentral.
GUGGGGAAUCUUAGACAAUGGGCGCAAGCCUGAUCUAGCCAUGCCGCGUGAGCGAUGAAGGCCUUAGGGUUGUAAAGCUCUUUCGCUGGGGAAGAUAAUGACUGUACCCAGUAAAGAAGCCCCGGCUAACUCCGUGCCAGCAGCCGCGGUAAUACGGAGGGGGCUAGCGUUGUUCGGAAUUACUGGGCGUAAAGCGCGCGUAGGCGGAUUGGAAAGUUGGGGGUGAAAUCCCGGGGCUCAACUUCGGAACUGCCUUCAAAACUCCCAGUCUUGAGUGCGAGAGAGGUGAGUGGAAUUCCGAGUGUAGAGGUGAAAUUCGUAGAUAUUCGGAGGAACACCAGUGGCGAAGGCGGCUCACUGGCUCGAUACUGACGCUGAGGUGCGAAAGCGUGGGGAGCAAACAGGAUUAGAAACCCUGGUAGUCC